RNAcentral lists this ribosomal RNA (274 nucleotides) under uncultured bacterium. Its description in RNAcentral is "partial 16S ribosomal RNA". It matches the Rfam family "Bacterial small subunit ribosomal RNA", at positions 523 to 796 of the family's 1533-position model. The record is from RNAcentral.
AUACGGAGGGUGCGAGCGUUGUUCGGAAUUAUUGGGCGUAAAGAGCAUGUAGGCGGUCUGUUAAGUCUGGUGUGAAAGCCCGGGGCUCAACCCCGGAAGUGCAUUGGAUACUGGCAGACUUGAGUAUGGGAGAGGAAAGCGGAAUUCCGAGUGUAGGAGUGAAAUCCGUAGAUAUUCGGAGGAACACCAGUGGCGAAGGCGGCUUUCUGGACCAAUACUGACGCUGAGAUGCGAAAGCGUGGGGAGCGAACAGAAUUAGAAACCCUAGUAGUCC